RNAcentral lists this ribosomal RNA (484 nucleotides) under uncultured bacterium. RNAcentral's name for it is "partial 16S ribosomal RNA". It matches the Rfam family "Bacterial small subunit ribosomal RNA", at positions 29 to 507 of the family's 1533-position model. The record is from RNAcentral.
AUUGAACGCUGGCGGCAUGCUUUACACAUGCAAGUCGAACGGCAGCGCGGGCUUCGGCCUGGCGGCGAGUGGCGAACGGGUGAGUAAUACAUCGGAACGUGCCCAGUCGUGGGGGAUAGCUCGGCGAAAGCCGGAUUAAUACCGCAUACGACCUGAGGGUGAAAGCGGGGGAUCUUCGGACCUCGCGCUAUUUGAGCGGCCGAUGGCAGAUUAGCUAGUUGGUGGGGUAAAGGCCUACCAAGGCGACGAUCUGUAGCUGGUCUGAGAGGACGACCAGCCACACUGGGACUGAGACACGGCCCAGACUCCUACGGGAGGCAGCAGUGGGGAAUUUUGGACAAUGGGCGAAAGCCUGACCCAGCAAUGCCGCGUGUGUGAUGAAGGCCUUCGGGUUGUAAAGCACUUUUGGCGGGAACGAAAAGGACUGUGCCAAUACCACGGUUCGAUGACGGUACCCGCAGAAUAAGCACCGGCUAACUACGUG